Molecule: non-coding RNA, 76 nt
Organism: Danionella cerebrum
Lineage: Eukaryota; Metazoa; Chordata; Actinopteri; Cypriniformes; Danionidae
Source: the annotation of a GenBank genome assembly
GGCAGUAUAGUCUAGUGGACAAGGUGAUUGACUGGAGACCAAAAGGUUGCUGGUUAGAUCCCCAGCUCCACUGGCA